Long non-coding RNA from Vombatus ursinus (common wombat), 546 nucleotides. RefSeq lists it as uncharacterized. The transcript has 3 exons. NCBI's taxonomy places the organism in Eukaryota, Metazoa, Chordata, Mammalia, Diprotodontia, Vombatidae. The record is from RefSeq and is a predicted model, not a curated record.
UAAACAUUUAUUUAGCGCCUACUAUGUGUCAGGCACUGUUUUAAGCUCUGGAUAGAUCGUGGACAGCAGAAGUUGGUGCCUAACUUCGGGAGGAGGUCGGUCCGGGACCUCAGAUUCCUUCUCGGCUCGCUGGCCAUCCCCAAAGCCCAGGUUCGGACGCCCAAGCCCCUACCCCUCCACCACCCCUACCCAGUCCCAGAUUCCCGGUCCCCUCUGCAGGCAGUUCCCAGGGGACGUGAGUCACUGCAGAGAAAUCCCGGCAGCAGAAAGAAAGUUUGGAGUUCUGAGAGUCUCCCCGUAGCGCUGCAGGCACCUCGCUCUCUCCCGGGCAGGAGCCAAGGCGAGCUGCACCUGGGGAAAGUUGCUGCCAACAGGGUGUGGUGCCUGGUAAACAGAUCUCUAUGAUGGAAGUGACAACAGGACAAAGUAAAGGAUGCUGACCUUGGUUCAAAUCCUGCUUCAUACGUUAACAGCAGAGAUUCUGUCUCAGAAACCUGGACCACGUGAGAAAUGCAGAAGAGACUUUUCAAUCCUACUCUAGCUUAC